GAUGAACGCUGGCGGCGUGCCUAAUACAUGCAAGUCGAGCGAACAGAUGAGAAGCUUGCUUCUCUGAUGUUAGCGGCGGACGGGUGAGUAACACGUGGGUAACCUACCUAUAAGACUGGGAUAACUCCGGGAAACCGGGGCUAAUACCGGAUAAUAUUUUGAACCGCAUGGUUCAGUAGUGAAAGACGGUUUCGGCUGUCACUUAUAGAUGGACCCGCGCCGUAUUAGCUAGUUGGUAAGGUAACGGCUUACCAAGGCGACGAUACGUAGCCGACCUGAGAGGGUGAUCGGCCACACUGGAACUGAGACACGGUCCAGACUCCUACGGGAGGCAGCAGUAGGGAAUCUUCCGCAAUGGGCGAAAGCCUGGCGGAGCAACGCCGCGUGAGUGAUGAAGGUCUUCGGAUCGUAAAACUCUGUUGUUAGGGAAGAACAAAUUUGUUAGUAACUGAACAAGUCUUGACGGUACCUAACCAGAAAGCCACGGCUAACUACGUGCCAGCAGCCGCAGUAA
RNAcentral lists this ribosomal RNA (514 nucleotides) under uncultured bacterium. RNAcentral describes it as "partial 16S ribosomal RNA". It matches the Rfam family "Bacterial small subunit ribosomal RNA", at positions 28 to 523 of the family's 1533-position model. The record is from RNAcentral.